CAUCUACUCCCUCCGUCCCAAAAUUCUUGUCUUAGAUUUGUCUAAAUACGGAUGUAUCAAGUCACGUUUUAGCACUAGAUACAUCUGUAUCUAGACAAAUGUAAGACAAGAAUUUUGGGACGGAGGGAGUAUAUU
Molecule: non-coding RNA, 135 nt
Organism: Triticum urartu
Lineage: Eukaryota; Viridiplantae; Streptophyta; Magnoliopsida; Poales; Poaceae
Source: Rfam